AUGCUUCUAACAUCUUUCAGAGAUACUUGUUUUGUUGAAAUUGUUCCACCGUAUCAGGCUCCACGGAGAGAGCAUUGGCCAAGUUUCUGGUUUGAAGUUCACUACAACUCACUAUACGAUGCUCCAGAUCUCCCGAGCAAAUACAGGCCUAGAAAGAAGCUUGUUUUAGAUUCACAUGUUGCUUCAGGCUUGAAUUUUAUCACAUGGCCUUGUCGAUAUUGCUGGCCGGCCACAUCCUGGAGAGCGGACAUCUACCUCUGA
Molecule: ribosomal RNA, 261 nt
Filed under: Triticum aestivum (bread wheat)
Lineage: Eukaryota; Viridiplantae; Streptophyta; Magnoliopsida; Poales; Poaceae
Description: partial small subunit ribosomal RNA
Source: RNAcentral